CAGAGUAAUACAGUCCAGAAAGAAUCGGCUGCAUCCAUACAAGAGAAAUGAAAAGAGCUUCUCUCUCUUUGGCUUUCUUGGUGACCCUCGUGCUCUUAUCAUCAUGCUUGAUGCUUGCGACAAAAGCAAGAGAUUUGACAGAAAUAAAGGCAGGCGUAUGCCAAUCAGCGGCAGAGUGCUUUAGAUUGUGCGAUGGAUGCCUCGGAAACAAGUGCAUCGAAGGCCGGUGCAUCUGCGGCUGCAUGGCGGAUUAAGGGCUAAAGCGAGGAUGAAACUGCCCUCGGGAAUUAGAAGCAAAAUGCUUGCUGAAUUUACUUGUUUUGUUUGCUUAGUAUUUGCUUCAAUAAAGGUGGUAAUAGCUUGAUUAUAUCUUCAACAACAA
This is a long non-coding RNA of Syzygium oleosum, 382 nucleotides long. RefSeq lists it as uncharacterized. The record is from RefSeq and is a predicted model, not a curated record. Lineage: Eukaryota; Viridiplantae; Streptophyta; Magnoliopsida; Myrtales; Myrtaceae. The transcript is spliced from 2 exons.